Molecule: transfer RNA, 71 nt
Filed under: Phrynosoma platyrhinos (Desert horned lizard)
Lineage: Eukaryota; Metazoa; Chordata; Lepidosauria; Squamata; Phrynosomatidae
Description: tRNA-OTHER
Source: RNAcentral
ACUAGCAUGGCAUAGCGGUUUGAGUGCUGGACUAUGACUCUGGAGACCAGGGUUCGAUUCCUGGCUUGGCU